GCUGGGCAUGGUGGCAUGCACGUAUAGUACCAGCUACUCAGGAGGCUGAAGCGGGAGGAUCACUUGAGCCUAGGAGUUCUGGGCUGUGGUGUGCUAUGCCAAUCAGGUGUCUGCACUAAGUUUGACAUCAAUAUGGUGACCUCUCAGGAGCAAGGGACCACCAGGUUGCCUAAGGAGGGAUGAAUUGGCCCAGAUUGGAAACGGAGCAGGGCAGCGCACUCCCUUGCUGAUCAGCAGUAGGGUUGUGCCUGUGAAUAGCCACUGCACUCUAGCCUGGGCAAUACAGCGAGACCCUGUCUCUA
RNAcentral lists this signal recognition particle RNA (302 nucleotides) under Pongo abelii (Sumatran orangutan). RNAcentral describes it as "Metazoan signal recognition particle RNA (ENSPPYG00000035790.1)". It matches the Rfam family "Metazoan signal recognition particle RNA". Rfam says of the family: The signal recognition particle (SRP) is a universally conserved ribonucleoprotein. Lineage: Eukaryota; Metazoa; Chordata; Mammalia; Primates; Hominidae. The record is from Rfam by way of RNAcentral.